AACGAACGCUGGCGGCAUGCCUAACACAUGCAAGUCGAACGAGACCUUCGGGUCUAGUGGCGCACGGGUGCGUAACGCGUGGGAACCUGCCCUUAGGUUCGGAAUAACUCCCCGAAAGGGGUGCUAAUACCGGAUAAUGUCUUCGGACCAAAGAUUUAUCGCCUUUGGAUGGGCCCGCGUUGGAUUAGCUAGUUGGUAGGGUAAAAGCCUACCAAGGCGACGAUCCAUAGCUGGUCUGAGAGGAUGAUCAGCCACACUGGGACUGAGACACGGCCCAGACUCCUACGGGAGGCAGCAGUGGGGAAUAUUGGACAAUGGGCGAUAGCCUGAUCAAGCAAUGCCGCGUGAGUGAUGAAGGCCUUAGGGUUGUAAAGCUCUUUUACACGGGAUGAUAAUGACAGUACCGGGAGAAUAAGCUCCGGCUAACUCCGUG
RNAcentral lists this ribosomal RNA (433 nucleotides) under uncultured bacterium. Its description in RNAcentral is "partial 16S ribosomal RNA". It matches the Rfam family "Bacterial small subunit ribosomal RNA", at positions 29 to 507 of the family's 1533-position model. The record is from RNAcentral.